This 414-nucleotide unclassified non-coding RNA is filed under the name soil metagenome. Its description in RNAcentral is "partial contains 5.8S ribosomal RNA, internal transcribed spacer 2, and large subunit ribosomal RNA". The stretch from base 1 to 122 matches the Rfam family "5.8S ribosomal RNA", at positions 35 to 154 of the family's 154-position model. The record is from RNAcentral.
GAUGAAGAACGCAGCGAAAUGCGAUACUUGGUGUGAAUUGCAGAAUCCCGUGAACCAUCGAGUCUUUGAACGCAAGUUGCGCCCGAAGCCGUCAGGCCGAGGGCACGCCUGCCUGGGCGUCACACGCCGUUGCCCCCCCCCGCGCCCCGCACCCAACUCUUUGGGAGCGACCGCGGGGCGGGCUGAUGAUGGCCUCCCGUGCGCUCCGCCGCGCGGUUGGCCCAAAUACCGAGUCCCCGGCGACGUGCGCCACGACGAUCGGUGGUUGAGAGACCUCUGUCGCAAGUCGUGCGCGCCCGUCGCGUCACGCGGGCUCGCAUAGCGCCUCGCGCCGCACCCGGUGCGGAGCUUUCAACGCGACCCCAGGUCAGGCGGGGUUACCCGCUGAAUUUAAGCAUAUCAAUAAGCGGAGGA